AGAGUUUGAUCCUGGCUCAGAACGAACGCUGGCGGCAUGCCUAACACAUGCAAGUCGAACGAAGCCUUCGGGCUUAGUGGCGCACGGGUGCGUAACGCGUGGGAAUCUGCCCUUGGGUACGGAAUAACAGUGAGAAAUUACUGCUAAUACCGUAUGAUGUCUUCGGACCAAAGAUUUAUCGCCCAGGGAUGAGCCCGCGUAGGAUUAGCUAGUUGGUGAGGUAAAGGCUCACCAAGGCUACGAUCCUUAGCUGGUCUGAGAGGAUGAUCAGCCACACUGGGACUGAGACACGGCCCAGACUCCUACGGGAGGCAGCAGUGGGGAAUAUUGGACAAUGGGCGAAAGCCUGAUCCAGCAAUGCCGCGUGAGUGAAGAAGGCCUUCGGGUUGUAAAGCUCUUUUACCCGGGAAGAUAAUGACCGUACCGGGAGAAUAAGCCCCGGCUAACUCCGUGCCAGCAGCCGCGGUAAUACGGAGGGGGCUAGCGUUGUUCGGAAUCACUGGGCGUAAAGCGUGCGUA
Molecule: ribosomal RNA, 519 nt
Filed under: uncultured freshwater bacterium
Lineage: Bacteria
Description: bacterial SSU rRNA
Rfam family: Bacterial small subunit ribosomal RNA
Source: RNAcentral